GAUGAACGCUGGCGGCGUGCUUAACACAUGCAAGUCGAACGGUGAAGGCGGAGCUUGCUCUGCUGGAUCAGUGGCGAACGGGUGAGUAACACGUGAGCAAUCUGCCCCUGACUCUGGGAUAAGCGCUGGAAACGGCGUCUAAUACUGGAUACGAGCUGCGCAGGCAUCUUCAGCAGCUGGAAAGAACUUCGGUCAGGGAUGAGCUCGCGGCCUAUCAGCUUGUUGGUGAGGUAACGGCUCACCAAGGCGUCGACGGGUAGCCGGCCUGAGAGGGUGACCGGCCACACUGGGACUGAGACACGGCCCAGACUCCUACGGGAGGCAGCAGUGGGGAAUAUUGCACAAUGGGCGAAAGCCUGAUGCAGCAACGCCGCGUGAGGGACGACGGCCUUCGGGUUGUAAACCUCUUUUAGCAGGGAAGAAGCGAAAGUGACGGUACCUGCAGAAAAAGCGCCGGCUAACUACGUG
RNAcentral lists this ribosomal RNA (468 nucleotides) under uncultured bacterium. Its description in RNAcentral is "partial 16S ribosomal RNA". It matches the Rfam family "Bacterial small subunit ribosomal RNA", at positions 28 to 507 of the family's 1533-position model. The record is from RNAcentral.